Molecule: ribosomal RNA, 453 nt
Filed under: Triticum aestivum (bread wheat)
Lineage: Eukaryota; Viridiplantae; Streptophyta; Magnoliopsida; Poales; Poaceae
Description: partial small subunit ribosomal RNA
Source: RNAcentral
AUGGGUGGCAAUAGCUAUGACCCUCUAGUCAUUGAGGAUUUUGAUUGGGGCAAUGAGUGGGUUGACCCAACAAUACCUCCACCCCAAGGUGCUCGAGGGUGUCCCGAUGACAUUUCAUGGGAGCUUGUUGAUGAGGCUGUUGGUGCAAGUUCGUCGCUGCAAGGUCGCAACUUUCCUAGAGCUAGCACCAUGGCAAGGGGGGCCUCAAAUGUUAAUGUCCAGUACCAAAGGCAGCGCAAAAGGGCUGCUCCGUCACCAACAUUUCUUCAUGAAGAUGACGAAGAGGAUGACCAAGAACAACAACCAAGUAUCCCCAAUGGAGAGGAUGAUGAUUCAGACUUUCUUCAAGAUGAUGUUGAUGUGACCGAUGAUGAUGAAGAUCCAACUAGUGCUGACCAAGAUGGCGAAGACAACACAAAUACUACCAUCGAUGAGUUCGAUGAUGGCUAUUGA